This 132-nucleotide small nucleolar RNA is filed under the name Carlito syrichta (Philippine tarsier). Its description in RNAcentral is "Small nucleolar RNA SNORA28 (ENSTSYG00000023822.2)". It matches the Rfam family "Small nucleolar RNA SNORA28". Rfam says of the family: ACA28 is a member of the H/ACA class of snoRNA that guide the sites of modification of uridines to pseudouridines. Lineage: Eukaryota; Metazoa; Chordata; Mammalia; Primates; Tarsiidae. The record is from Rfam by way of RNAcentral.
AAGCAUCAUCAGAGAAAUGCAGAUCAAAACCACAUUGACUGUCUGACACAAUUUGAGCUUGCUAUAGCAAGAAGUCUAACCUAUUCCAGUUCUCUCUUCUAUGAGACAAGCCAUUAUAUAGACUUAAACAGU